UGGUGGAGUGAUUUGUCUGGUUAAUUCCGUUAACGAACGAGACCUCCGCCUACUAAAUAGCACACUUAGGUUCAAACAAGUGAAGGGUGGUCGGCGAUUGGAGCUUCGGUUCUGGUCUCGGUUGCCCUGGAUCUAUGAAAUUCUUUGUAAGGCUUCUUAGAGGGACUGCCCACGGUAAGUGGGAGGAAGUUGGAGGCAAUAACA
This 204-nucleotide ribosomal RNA is filed under the name uncultured eukaryote. Its description in RNAcentral is "partial 18S ribosomal RNA". It matches the Rfam family "Eukaryotic small subunit ribosomal RNA", at positions 1299 to 1458 of the family's 1831-position model. The record is from RNAcentral.